UACAUGGGGUGCAAACGUUGCUCGGAAUCAUUGGGCGUAAAGCGCGCGUAGGCGGUUACUUAAGUCGAAUGUGAAAGCCCUCGGCUUAACUGAGGAAGUGCAUCCGAAACUGAGUAGCUAGAGUACGAAAGAGGGUCGCGGAAUUCCCGGUGUAGAGGUGAAAUUCGUAGAUAUCGGGAGGAACACCGGUGGCGAAGGCAGGUCUCUGGGCUGUAACUGACGCUGAGGAGCGAAAGCAUGGGGAGCGAACAGG
Molecule: ribosomal RNA, 253 nt
Filed under: uncultured bacterium
Lineage: Bacteria
Description: partial 16S ribosomal RNA
Rfam family: Bacterial small subunit ribosomal RNA
Source: RNAcentral